AGCAGCAUGACUCUCACAUGUGCUGCCAGAGAUGAGUUUUGCUUGGAUCAUAAGGGCACCAGUCACCCGGCCUGUGCAGGCCCUCCCCGCGAAAAACACACCCUGCCCAGGGGUCCUGGCCUGGCCGCCUGGGAGGAAGGAGAGAUGAGGAGGACCCCCGGGUGCUAGGCUCUGCCCUGGGCGCCCCUUCCCCGCGCCCCAGCCGCCGAGUCUGCAGCAGCCAAACGCCCUUCCCAAGCCCCCGCCUCCAGCUCCCACCCUGCCGCUUCCCGGGGAGAGCCCGAAAGGUGAGCUCCCGGGAGGCCGCCCGCGCUCCGGCGGCGGCCCGCUUGGCAAACAAUAACAGUAAAUAACGCUCCCUUGUCAACGUAAUAAAAACGGAAACGGUUACAAUGUUUUUUAAUAAGCGUCCCCCAUCAAUCUCCCGCCCUCCCGGGCGGUGCGUACGGAGCGAGGGGGCGCGGAGACGGGGGAAGGAGGGGGCCACCAGGGCGCGCUGGAUGGGGGGCCCGGGGUGCUAGAGGAGGAGGACGCCGGGGGGAAGAAGGGAAAACACAGCAAGUGAGAGACGAGGGGGCGCGAGCGGCCGGGGUCACGCGCGCCAGCCGAGCCGGGAAGCGGCCGCGGUGAGUAACACCGUUGCCAUGGCGACGUGGCCGCGAGGAACAGGAAGCUGCAGAAAUAGCAGCCGCCGCGGCCGCGCGGCCGGGUCCCUCCGCCCGCG
This 724-nucleotide long non-coding RNA is filed under the name Dasypus novemcinctus (nine-banded armadillo). Its description in RNAcentral is "lncRNA (ENSDNOG00000051543.1)". The record is from RNAcentral. Lineage: Eukaryota; Metazoa; Chordata; Mammalia; Cingulata; Dasypodidae.